Molecule: long non-coding RNA, 321 nt
Organism: Populus nigra (black poplar)
Lineage: Eukaryota; Viridiplantae; Streptophyta; Magnoliopsida; Malpighiales; Salicaceae
Exons: 2
Source: RefSeq, a predicted model, not a curated record
GCGGGUUAUUAUCAAGGACCUCCAGUGAUGCCACCUCCACAAUAUUAUGCUGCCCCACCACCUCGGAGAGAGCCUGGUUUCCUCGAGGGAUGCCUUGCAGCUUUGUGUUGUUGCUGCCUUAUUGACGAGUGUUGCUGCGACCCCUCCAUCCUCUUUAUUAGCUAACAGAGCCACAUAUUAUGCUUCUUGCACGAGUAAUUAUAGUUUGUUGUGUGUUAUAAUAAUAGAGUGAAUGAACUCUGUUAUUUAUAAUUACCCUGGAACAUUUUACUAUAUAUAUAAAUUAUAUAAUAUGGUCUCCUCUUGAUCUUUCUUCGUCCA